AACACCGACCAACAAUAUUAGCAGAAAAACCCAAAACCCGAUGAUCCGCGAAUCAACCCGACCUGAAUUAGAAUCAGCUCUAAACAACAAUAGUGAUGCGUACAAUAUCCACCAGCCACGACAAAAACAGCAAAAUCCCAUACCCGAUAACCAUCUUCAACCCGUCGAAGACCCAACCGACCCAACCCUUCUCCACGUGCAUCUCACAUGGGUACGUAUGAGGAGGGCUCGAGAAAGUUCUAGAACAAACCUAGGUGUCGUUCCCCAACGGGUAAUUCCACAAAUCUCAGGCACGAUGGUACGAUUCCGUACAUAUUUGGUGAAUUCCUAUUAGUUCUUGAGGGAAUUCAUUUUGCGAAAAAUUCUAUUAGUCCAUCCAUCCAGAUUUAUCCGAAGAAAAUCCAAAAAUUAGUACAAAAAUUUAGGGAUGAAAACCGAAGCGGGGGGAGAUUUCCAAUUUCCAAUUUUCUAUUUUUAGAAAUCCCUAAUUUACCCCAUAUACGCCUUUCUAUAAAUGACUCAACGUGGACCAAUUUUUAGAUGGGAAAAAAAUCUCUUUUAGGUCCAAAAAAGAGAAGAGACAAAGGAUUUUGGAAGCAAAAACAUAAGAAAAAAUAGUAAAAGGAGAAGGGGCUUUUCUUUUAAGUGAAAAAAAGAAGAGAGAGAAGAAAUAUAUUUUGUUUUCAGCACGAAUUCUUGAAGGCAGUAGGCUAAUCGUUUUUAAGAUCUUUUUCCGUGGUGUUCACAAUUCCGACGAAGCUCAUUGUUGCGUUUGGCUACCCCGAAAGGGGUAAACAUACUCUCGUCCCUUUUAAUUUCAUCAUUUUCUUCUUCUUCCUUUUUAACCAUAGAAUCAGUUAACUGCUUAGUUGUAAUCGUGAUAGCAUUAGGUUUGCUUGCCGUAGACGUCGUUGAUGGCCAUAGGAUUUGUUUGUGGUGACUAUUGUUGUGUCGUUUUAAUUGGUUUAAUGAUGUUCGCCCUAUUGUUGAUUCCAUAUAUUUUUUAUUUUACUGUUUUGGAAUCAUAAUCUCGUGUUAAUCUUACUGGUCAGUUGUUAAAUUUUCCGUUAGUAUAUAUUGUGAACAUGUUGUGCUUUUUCGUAUGAUUCGAUACAUCUCGUCGUGGGGUUUAAACUACUGUUCUUAUAUUGACUUUGUUUAAAUUGUCCGAAACAUAUUGUGAUCUGUUGCUCUUCGAUGCAGCUGUGAGCUCAAUGCGUUGGUAUCACAAUUUGAAUUCUAGUUUUUCUUUCAAAGUCAUUACAAUCUCUUGAAAAUUGUGGUCUAUUUUUGCUAAUAUUUAGCUGAGCCUUCUUUAUUUAAGUCCUCUUUGUUGCCUUAGUUCGAUGUUGCUACUGUUUCGCCUAUUUCCUUACCUUGUUUUAUGCUUGUCUUCGAGUUGUCGUGAGCAUGUAAAGAUGUUCCUCAAAUUCCUAUUGGCAAGAAAUGUCAAAGAAGGGAUGAAGGAUACAUUAUAUAGGUCUUUGCUUUGAUGGAAAUCACAACUGAUGGGUUAUUGUUUUUCUUGGCAUCGUAAUGCUAGUCUUGAUGCACUAGCACGAAUAUGUUUAAUGUAGUCUAAUAGCCAUAGGAAAAAGAAGAAGAAUAAUGUUCUUUUAUAUCUCUUAUGGCUUCAAAGUUUCAGUUUUUAAUUGUUUUAUGUAAGUGGAUUCUUUCCUUAUUUUUCUCUCUUUUUUCCCUGACUAUCCGAACGCCUUGGUUGUUUUAUUUCUUCCUUAUUGACAUUCACUGGCUCCUGAUUUCUGAUUCAAUUUCUUAAUAGGUUCAAAAAAUAUAACUCACAAUUUUUGUCUUAAUGUUUCAAGUUCUAGUUGUUGCAUUCUUAACGCACUAGUUUGAUAUUAAUUGUGUAGUUUAGGAUCGUUAAUUCACAUGUUGUGUCAACUCAGAUGCUAUAUGUCGUGGUCCUUUCAUUCAUUGCAUUCUUUUUGUUACCACUACAAAAAUUCCAGUUUGUAUUGGGUUCAUCUUGUGAAAGGAUUGAAAUUGUUUUCCUAAAUCAUUCUUUGGUUCAUAAUACUUGAUUAGUAGUCUGUUACCUUAGAUUAUUUCUUCUUCCCUUUCUUUUCUCCAAUCUGUAAAAGCUGAAUCUGAUUGCACCUAGUUGAAUUUUGUCGAACAUUAGACAUGAGGAUUUUCUUACAAUGGUUGGUUUUCUGGUUUGCUGAAUUAGCAUGUGUUAAUUGUUCUUUCUUUUGCCUAUUUGUUGAAUCUCUUAAAUGUCCAAUUCACGCUUUUAUUUCACCUCACUCUCUCUAAGCUCCCCAAAAAAAUGUAAUUGUGUAGGCUUUGUUUUGCUUGGCAAUCAUGACAAUCUUCCAUUUACUUUCUUUGGAUGACCUGGACAUAUCUUUAUGAAUCAGCGUAUGAGUAUCUCUCACAGUAUUAGGAAACUUUCUGGGUGAUUUGUGGAUGAUAUAUUAAUUCUUUCUUCUUGUUUUCUUUUCUUUGCAUGAACCCACUUCGGAGUCCCAUCGGACUCUUUGCCUUUUGUAUAUAGGCCAAUAAGGCCUAUCUUUCGAGUCAGGCCCCAAAAGAAAGUCUAAAGCGAGUUCAAAGGCAUAUGGAUGCAAGGAGUCAAAGGAAGAAAAUGAACUAAAGUCUCAUAUUUGAAGCGGCUAAGAGACUUAAAAGUCUCAUUUACUUGCCUAUUUAGUUAUUUAUUGUUGUCUCAUGUAUUCAUUUAUUUGUCGUCUUAUUUUUUCAUUUCAUUCAUUUAGGCCUCAAAGCCAAAGUUGUCAAUUUAAUACAGGUGGAACAAAUUUUGGGUCGAAAAGGCUCUAAAACUAGACUAGGACAGGUGAAAUGGGUCGAAAGUUCAAUUAAACUAGGACAGGUUUCAUUGAUUUGGGCCCAAUGGUCUUAAAUCUUUUACUUUCUCCUCUCUUUCCCCUUUUAUGUGUUUAUUUGAUUAUUAGUUUUGUUUAGACUUAGUUAAAAUCCCUACUAAGUCGUUUAAAUCUAUUUUACACAAGUUUUUUCUAAAAAAAUUGAUCAUUUUUCAACAAAUAAAUCUUUUUGUAGUUAGUCAAAAGAUGUUUUCAAACAGUUCGGAUAAUCGCAAGUUAGCAGACAUUUUAGGUGCUUUAAUAAUCUUUCUAAAACGUUAAUAGAAAUUGCUUACUCUGAAUUUUCGAGUUUAACUGAUUUGCUUAUUUUGGAUUGGUUAAAGUAAAUUUAUAAAGGUUUUUUAAUUCUUUUUCAAAAUUAAGUGGCGACUCUUAAAAAGCUAAAAUUUUUGUAAAAAAGAACCAAUGUUUCAUGAAGCUACAUGCUCACAAACAACUACACUUAUCUAACUAAUAGACCCACCAAGUAAGCCUAAUAUCCAUUCAAUAUUUUCAACCAUCCAUGAAUACCAAAUUAAUUUAUAUGUCAAUAGAGUAUGAACACAUCACAAUAUACAAUUGAUACCACAAUAGGCUUUUCAUCAAACAAGAUAUGAUUAUUUUUCAUGCAUAUAGGCUAUCAACAUCACAUAGGAUUCCACACGGUCACACAUAGAACAUAGCAUCCCAAAACUACCAAAUACAUCACAUAUAGGCCCCCACACAGGCACAACACAAUAAGAUAGCCAUUUUUUAUAAUUAGUUUUCAUACUCUUAACCUUUUGUAUCAAAUUAACUAUCCAGCUUGGUUUGAAAAAAGUUAAGCCAUAGCCUACUUUGUAAGUCGAAAACUAGAACAAAAGCCUUAAAUCCCAAAGCCUCACUCCUAAUGAAUGGUCCCAAAAUCAACUAAAACAUAGAAAUAUUGAAUCUACGCGUCAAAAGAAAGCCA
RNAcentral lists this long non-coding RNA (3801 nucleotides) under Capsicum annuum. RNAcentral describes it as "long non-coding RNA (CANN_LNC001085)". Lineage: Eukaryota; Viridiplantae; Streptophyta; Magnoliopsida; Solanales; Solanaceae. The record is from RNAcentral.